UGAUCUCGCAAGAGCAAAGCAGGGGACCGCAAGGCCUUGCGCUUUUGGAGGAGCCUACGUCGGAUUAGCUAGUUGGUAGGGUAAUGGCCUACCAAGGCGACGAUCCGUAGCUGGUCUGAGAGGACGAUCAGCCACACCGGAACUGAGACACGGUCCGGACUCCUACGGGAGGCAGCAGUGGGGAAUAUUGGACAAUGGGCGAAAGCCUGAUCCAGCAAUGCCGCGUGUGUGAAGAAGGCCUUCGGGUUGUAAAGCACUUUGAUCUGGGAAGAAAAAGCUUUGGCUAACAUCCAAAGCCUUUACGGUACCAGAGGAACAAGCACCGGCUAACUCUGUGCCAGCAGCCGCGGUAAUACAGAGGGUGCUAGCGUUAAUCGGAUUUACUGGGCGUAAAGCGUGUGUAGGCGGUUCGUUAAGUCGGAUGUGAAAGCC
Molecule: ribosomal RNA, 432 nt
Filed under: uncultured Marinobacter sp.
Lineage: Bacteria; Pseudomonadati; Pseudomonadota; Gammaproteobacteria; Pseudomonadales; Marinobacteraceae
Description: bacterial SSU rRNA
Rfam family: Bacterial small subunit ribosomal RNA
Source: RNAcentral